UGAACGCUGGCGGCGUGCCUAACACAUGCAAGUCGCACGAGAAAUCUCCUGCUUGCAGGAGAGAGUAAAGUGGCGCACGGGUGAGUAACACGUGGGUAAUCUGCCUCCGAAUUUGGGAUAACGUUGCGAAAGCGAUGCUAAUACCGGAUAACAUCCUAGGUGCUUCGGCACCAUGGAUCAAAGGUGGCCUCUACAUGUAAGCUACUGUUUGGAGAUGAGCCCGCGGGCCAUUAGCUUGUUGGUGGGGUAAAGGCCUACCAAGGCUGCAAUGGCUAGCUGGUCUGAGAGGAUGAUCAGCCACACUGGAACUGAGACACGGUCCAGACUCCUACGGGAGGCAGCAGUGAGGAAUCUUGCGCAAUGGGGGAAACCCUGACGCAGCAACGCCGCGUGAGUGAAGAAGGCCUUCGGGUCGUAAAGCUCUGUCAAGUGGGAAGAACCUGUUCGGUGAUAAUACCACCGAGCACUGACGGUACCACUGGAGGAAGCACCGGCUAACUCC
RNAcentral lists this ribosomal RNA (502 nucleotides) under uncultured bacterium. RNAcentral's name for it is "bacterial SSU rRNA". It matches the Rfam family "Bacterial small subunit ribosomal RNA", at positions 30 to 504 of the family's 1533-position model. The record is from RNAcentral.